This is a long non-coding RNA of Epinephelus moara (kelp grouper), 1203 nucleotides long. RefSeq lists it as uncharacterized. The transcript has 3 exons. The record is from RefSeq and is a predicted model, not a curated record. Lineage: Eukaryota; Metazoa; Chordata; Actinopteri; Perciformes; Serranidae.
UGUUAUUGGAGGCAGCGUUGUUAAGCGACCAGUAUCUGAGCCGUGCAUUGGAUACAAGCAUGUGCAGUGGACGAUUAUGCAAAUGCUGUCAGGUGUCAUGAAGCACAGAGCUCUGCAAUAACAGCCCUGAGGCAGCAGCAGGGGUUCAUGAAGAAGUACUUGAGCCUCCGCCUGAAGUCCUCCACCAUCUUCGAGUCCAGGGUCCGAGUGUGAGCGCUCCAUCUGCAGUGGCCGUUCAGCCUCCUCUCCUCCGACCUCGAGCACAAGAACAACAGGGAGAUGCAAUGGAGCCUGAACUCACCCCGCAAUGAAACAAUCCUCUUACCCUGAGCCUCACCUCCCUGGGUUUUGCAAGCCUUUUCCAGUUGUUUCCAAAUGUGCAAAUGCAGUAUUUGAGAAUGAUGACCUCACAUAUUUUUGUUGCUGUAGUCUGAAGUGAGUCUAAGGUUACACUUUUUCUCAUCUCUGUGUCAGUGAUGAAACUGUGUAUGUGUACCUCUCUCUCUAAACGAUUGGAACAUCCCCACACAGCACCAUGGUGGAAACCAUGUGAGAGGACAACACGGAAGGAAGGGCACAGACAAACUGCUUGACAUCCUUGUCACGUGUCUGAGUUUAUUAGAAGUUAAUUCAUUGUAGUAAAUAAGUACAUAGUGCAAAGACAAAGAUAUAUAAAAUAAAUAUGUCUAUAAACUGCUGCUGCUGCUGCUAGGCCAGUGAUCCAUUGUGCUGACACUUAACAGUCAUUGGUUGUCACCUGUUGGUCUCCUUCUGUCCCACUGAAAGUAAUUAAGAUAACAUUAGUUAUUAAAUCAUUACAAUCAUUACAUUAUCAAUACAUAUUAGGAUGUGAUUGCUCUUGACAACCACACAAGACUAAGGACAGAACUGAAAAGAUAAUUUAAACCAAUAAAAGCAACAUGCUGUUUCACCAAGGUAAAGACACACAUACACAUUACACAUAAUACUGUGUAAUAAUACAUUUCUAUCAUAUAAUUAUGCUGUCGUAUACUUAUAUUGGCCUGUAUACAUAUAUAAAUACAUAUCCAUAUCCACAUCCCUUAUAUAUACACUGUGUACAUACUGUGUAAUAUUGCUGUGCAAAUUCCAGUGUGCAAUAUUUUGCCACUUCCUGUGGAAUAAUAUUUGAACAUUUCUGUAUUUUUACAGUAAAAAUACUACACAUCAUGUGUAUUACAAUCA